AAUGGCAGGUCAGCAUACUGCCGUGAAUACGUUCCCGGGCCCUUGUACACACCGCCCGUCACACCAUGAGAGUUGGAAAUACCCGAAGCCUGUGAGCUAACCGUAAGGAGGCAGCAGUCGAAGGUAGAGUCAAUGAUUGGGGUGAAGUCGUAACAAGGUACC
RNAcentral lists this ribosomal RNA (162 nucleotides) under uncultured bacterium. RNAcentral describes it as "partial 16S ribosomal RNA". It matches the Rfam family "Bacterial small subunit ribosomal RNA", at positions 1340 to 1500 of the family's 1533-position model. The record is from RNAcentral.